UUAGUAAAAUCCAAAAUAGAGGAAUAUCACUGUUAAUGAUAUUAUUAAGAAUUUAUCCUUUUACUAAA
This 68-nucleotide transfer RNA is filed under the name Pedetontinus luanchuanensis. RNAcentral's name for it is "tRNA-Asn". The record is from RNAcentral. Lineage: Eukaryota; Metazoa; Arthropoda; Insecta; Archaeognatha; Machilidae.